RNAcentral lists this ribosomal RNA (249 nucleotides) under uncultured Latescibacterota bacterium. RNAcentral describes it as "uncultured Latescibacteria bacterium partial 16S ribosomal RNA". It matches the Rfam family "Bacterial small subunit ribosomal RNA", at positions 1136 to 1382 of the family's 1533-position model. The record is from RNAcentral. Lineage: Bacteria; Pseudomonadati; Candidatus Latescibacterota.
AACUCUGGGGAGACUGCCGGUGGAUAAACCGGAGGAAGGCGGGGGAUGACGUCAAGUCCUCAUGGCCCUUACAUCCCGGGCUACACACGUGCUACAAUGGCAGGUACAGAGGGCUGCGAAGCCGCGAGGUGGAGCGAAUCCCAGAAAACCUGUCUCAGUCCGGAUUGAAGUCUGCAACUCGACUUCAUGAAGGCGGAAUCGCUAGUAACCGCGAAUCAGCAGGUCGCGGUGAAUACGUUCCCGGGCCUU